This 250-nucleotide unclassified non-coding RNA is filed under the name Athalia rosae (coleseed sawfly). RNAcentral describes it as "misc RNA ENSAEAG00005002944.1". The record is from RNAcentral. Lineage: Eukaryota; Metazoa; Arthropoda; Insecta; Hymenoptera; Athaliidae.
AAAUUAAGUGCCUCGAAUGUUUUGAUACUAUACAAAGGUGAAGUCGGAUCUCGACGCUGAAUCUCCAAAUCCUUUGUAGUUUCAACUAAUCCUUUGCGGAUUAUUUUUUGCAAUAAAGACUUCUCUGCAGGAGAUAUGUGUUCUUCAUUUUCAUCGCUUUUUGAACUCUCACUUCCUUCUAAUGGAGGUGUGGCAGGAUUUACAAUACCUAAAUUGGGUUCUGCAAUUACACCGCGCACAGACGCACUUC